CAAAACUCUUAUAAACAUAUAAAAUAAACUUAAAAUUCAGAGUUUUCUAGAAAUAAAAUAAUGGUCUAGAAACACCCUCCGCCUCCGCCUUAUCAUGAUUGAACCGAACAAAUAAAAAAGAAUGGAGAAAACUCACGGGUAAUGUUUUAUCCCCAACCACACUCCCAGGGAGUUGAUUUGGUCCCGCGCGAAAUCUCUCUCUCUCUCUCUCUCUGGCCAGGGAGUCGCGGCUUCUGUGAAAGAUCCGAAGUGCAUAAUUGUGGCUUGUUGCGAUAUAAUCCAAGUCUUAUUUUCUGUGCUUCGAUUUCAUUUCCAUCUUGUCCAAUCCUCGGGGGUUUCUCCCUUGAUUAGGUUUGGGUCUCGGGGCUUCGGAAUAUAAUACAAAGAUCGGUUUUUUAUUUGGAAAAAGAGUAGNNN
RNAcentral lists this long non-coding RNA (417 nucleotides) under Elaeis guineensis (African oil palm). RNAcentral describes it as "long non-coding RNA (EGUI_LNC019564)". Lineage: Eukaryota; Viridiplantae; Streptophyta; Magnoliopsida; Arecales; Arecaceae. The record is from RNAcentral.